AUGGCCGCUGGGUGUUUGCUGUGCGUCCUCAGACCACCUCAGCUCCUCCUUCCCUACACCUGGGACUCUUCUGCGCAGACUUGGCUUCAAACAAGGCUCACGGUUUUUCCUGGCAUUUGCUUUUCUGGCUUAGUGAGUGCACAUUCAAUAUCUUUUUCUUCUUCUCUUGAAAGCACUGUCUUCAGUCUCCUCACUUGUCCCUUUCUCCCCUGGCAAGUGUAAUGCUAUCAACAUUUGAAAGUGGCCUGACUCGCUCCUGUCUGGUAAAUGGCCUUGCUGCUGAAUUUCUGUAGAACUGUGCAGAAACUAGAGCAGGGGCUAAAGAGAGCUGCUCUCUUGGGGCUCAGAUGCCCCUCCUGGGGCCCCACCUCACGCUAGGGGCUAGGAGGGGGUGGGACCUGAAGUUUCCUUCCUAAAUUUGAGCAAUGACUCCGUGUGACCUUAGCAACCCUGAACUUUGCUCUGCUUCUGUUUAGCAUCUGUUAAGUA
This 489-nucleotide long non-coding RNA is filed under the name Piliocolobus tephrosceles (Ugandan red Colobus). RNAcentral describes it as "lncRNA (ENSPTEG00000035549.1)". Lineage: Eukaryota; Metazoa; Chordata; Mammalia; Primates; Cercopithecidae. The record is from RNAcentral.